AGAGCUGCUGGUGUGGGCUGUGGCGGGUGCUGCUGCACUCCUUCUCUGGUUUCUAUCCAGGUCCAGGCUCAGACUCAGCACAGAGCCUAAAUCCUGGGUCCUGCUUUACACCUAGAAUAUGAGGCAGGUGACGAGAGUGACGGUGCUCCUGAUCUUGGGGACUUUGAGCCUCACUAAGACCACCCAGCCCAUUUUCAUUGACUCAUAUGAAGGACAAGAGGUGAACAUAACCUGUAACCACACCAACAUUGCUACAAAUGAGUACAUCCUCUGGUACCGACAGUUCCCCAACCAGGGACCACAAUUUGUUAUUCAAGCUUUUAAGGAAACAGUGAAAAAUGAAGUGUCAAUUCUGUUCAUCCCUGACGACAGGAAGUCCAGCACCCUGAGCCUGCCCCUGGCUACCCUGAGAGACACCGCUGUGUACUACUGCAUCGUGAAUGCCACAGUGAGACAGACGGGGCUGCACCUGUGCAGUAACCUCCUGUGGGGGAUGAGGAACCUGCUGAAGGUGAAGCAGAGCGCUGAGUCACUGAGUGUUCAGGACAGAGCCAGCUCUUCUCUCAGCUGCACUUAAGAAGACCCACUAUUUCCAGUACUUCAUGUGGUACAGACAAUAUCGUGGAAAAAGCCUAGGGUUUCUGAUUCUUAUACUCCCAAAUGGUGAAAAAGAGGAAAGAAGAUUCACAGCAUUUGAACAAAGACAAGAAAUACACCCCCCUGCACAUCACACAUCUGGAGCCCGGAGAUUCCAUCACCGACAUCUGCACAGCAGGUUCACAGUGAUCCCCAGGUCCUUGGAGCCUCUGCCCAAACGAGUGUUGGAGGGUCCAGCCACACGCCUGACAUGAGAGUUGAGAUGGCGGGGUAGAGGGGAAGCUCUGUAUUGUUUCUAUCUACUUAUGAAAAUAGAUACCCAUAUCUGAGAGGCCGUGUGUGCUUAUCUAAGGAAGACAUUAGACUAUUCUGUCUAAAGGAAUUUCCACCUAAAGGAAAUUAUAGAUGUAAUAUUGGCCUGAGUAAAUGUUCGAAAUGUUCUCUAUCCCACUUGGAGUUUCAUCCCACUCUUGUUUAUGGUUUCUCAGUUGGAUGAUGUCUUGGUUGUAGGCUAGAGGAAAAGAGCCCUGUCGUGGAGAUGGGGGAAGCAGGAGUAUGGCCCAGGUCCUUUCAAGGAGUCACUGACUAUGAAGAAACAACACAAUUAGGCUUAAUUUUAAGUUCUAAUUUUAUCAACAGGAAUCCCCAUGUUGAGCACUUUGGACAAAAGCCACUGAGGGAUGGUAGAAAGAGCACUGGGAUUAGAAGCAGUAAAUUCUAAUUCUAGUUGUACUUCAUCCUUGCUACAUCCCCUUUGUAACAAAAUAGAGUGGAAAAAGAAUAAGCUUCGAAGCCAAGCAUUUCUGGGUAUGAAUCUGAGAUUCUUAAUGGUUUGACCUUGGUCAAAUACUUAUGGUAUCUGAGCUUCAACACCUUCUCUAUAAAAUGGGGAUCAUAAUACUAUUUUCCAACAUUAUUAUGAGGCUAAAAUAAUAUCACACCAAGGUCCUGCACUUAACCAGAACUCGUCAGACAAAUGCUAUCAAUAUCCCACAUUAUCAUUUCUGUAUAAUGAAGUUAUUAAACCUGAUCUGCAAACCCUGCAAAGCUGUUUGAAGGAUGACAUAAAAUCUUGUGUCUUCAGGCUCUUGAUGAAUUGAGAAAUACCUAAACAAAUAUAAGAAUUUUGGGGGGAGAUAAAACUCUUGGUCUUGUUAUCUCUGAACAAAAAUCAAUGAAUUGAUCAGUUGUUUCUCUGUAGAAAGAUCAUAUGACUUCUUUGCCAAAUGGUCCCCAGGGCAAGGCUUUCAAGUGUGAGUUGAUAAAUGAUGGCUCAUGGAAUGAUUGGUGACUCUGGACUCCCGGGGUGGAUGAGUAACUCUCUGCCUCCAGGCCAAAGAGAGUCUGUAGGAAUGAAUGAUUACAAAAUGUUCAGAGCUUUGUAUAAUUACAGAGAUCAGGAUGAGUUUUGGUCUGGGUUUUCGACAGUCAACAGUCUAUCAAAGCACACAGCCCUGUUCUUAUUUAGUGAAAGGGCUUCCAUUAUAGUGAUGAGAAGCAGAAGUAUUUAUCAAGUACUCAGAGUAGGGUCCAGAUUAGAUCUCACCACUGCACUGAGCACAUUACAGGCACCUACACUUCAUUACUCAGAUGCAUCCCCAGGCUCACAUGUGCACAGACGCACAUGUGGUGUGUGUGUGUGUGUGUGUGUGUGAUUUUAAAAAUAUAUUGUAUGAUUGCUAUUUCCAUGUGGUCUCUUCACAUGGCGUCUCCAGCACGGUAGUUGAAUUUUUUACAUGGAAGCUCCUAAGAGUGCAAAAGGAGAACUGCUUGCUUAAGCUUAAGUCAGGACUGGUACAUCAUCACUCUUCCUGCAUUCUAUCAGCUAUGUGCACUAUGGGGCCAGCCCAGAUUCAGUGGGGGGACCUAUAUAAGCUAUAUAAGACUGUUAAUAUUGAAAAGCAUGAUUCAUCGAGAAUCAGCAAUUUAACAGAGUACUACAAUAGUCAUUGUAGAAAAUUUAGAAAACAACGAUAAAUA
Equus caballus (horse) is the source of this 2577-nucleotide non-coding RNA. NCBI's taxonomy places the organism in Eukaryota, Metazoa, Chordata, Mammalia, Perissodactyla, Equidae. The record is from the annotation of a RefSeq genome assembly.